This 408-nucleotide ribosomal RNA is filed under the name uncultured soil bacterium. Its description in RNAcentral is "bacterial SSU rRNA". It matches the Rfam family "Bacterial small subunit ribosomal RNA", at positions 509 to 916 of the family's 1533-position model. The record is from RNAcentral.
CAGCCGCCGCGGUAAUACGGAGGGGGCAAGCGUUGUUCGGAAUUACUGGGCGUAAAGGGCGCGUAGGCGGUCCGUUUAGUCGGGCGUGAAAGGCCUGGGCUCAACCCGGGGACGGCGCUCGAUACUGGCGGGCUAAGAGUCCGGGAGAGGAUGGCGGAAUUCCCAGUGUAGAGGUGAAAUUCGUAGAUAUUGGGAAGAACACCGGUGGCGAAGGCGGCCAUCGGGACCGGUACUGACGCUGACGCGCGAAAGCGUGGGGAGCAAACAGGAUUAGAUACCCUGGUAGUCCACGCCGUAAACGAUGCGUGCUAGACGUUGGGGGGCAUGCCCUUCGGUGUCGCAGCUAACGCUGUAAGCACGCCGCCUGGGGAGUACGGUCGCAAGAUUAAAACUCAAAGGAAUUGACGG